Lolium rigidum is the source of this 2891-nucleotide long non-coding RNA. RefSeq lists it as uncharacterized. The transcript is spliced from 3 exons. The record is from RefSeq and is a predicted model, not a curated record. NCBI's taxonomy places the organism in Eukaryota, Viridiplantae, Streptophyta, Magnoliopsida, Poales, Poaceae.
AGUUUGCUGAUGCCCUCUUUCAUGAUUUUUUUUCGUGUCCUUCCUCACGGAGUGUUUGAGAUUGUUGCCGCCGCCCUUUCUCCCCUUCCAAGAGCUCUCAUUCCACCGCGUCCGUGUCGCCUCCUCCUCUUGGUCACAAGGCCACCUCCACCUCCUGCGUCAUCACGCUGGACCCUGCCUCCCCGUCUGUCGUGGUAGGGAUGCCGAGAUAGCGCCACAUCCGCUGUGCCGCAUGGCCGUGGCCACAUCGGUGCGACAUGGCCAGCCCACAGGAAAGAAGGUCAACCAGGGUCCAGGGGAUUACGAAGUUCAUACCACUGGUGGUCCCUUGAGAACACUCGAUGAAAUCAUAUGUGCAACUUUGCUGUUUCUACUAGCUCAUGAAUCCUAGAAGCUCUGAUCAAGAGGUAUUCUCUUUAGCACAUGCGUCCGUUUUACUAGCAGUUUGAUGGAUUCACUGCUUGAAUAAUAUUAUUUGGAUAUUUCUCAUGAAAAUAUGUCUGGGGUUUGAGGUUAUAAUGUUUAAUGGAAUGAAUAUUUAGUUCCCAAAAUUAUUUUACUUUGAUAAUAUUUGCUCAAGAUGCAUGCUCUGAACACAGAGAUAGUUACUCUUUGCAAGCAAUGCUACUACAGGUUGAAAGCUACACAUGAAUACAGUUUUAUGGGAAGAUGCAAUUUUCUUUCCAGGAUAAUCCUGGAAAUUUGGUAUCUAGGUUGUUUUGGACACCGACCAAACAUAACAUAUCCUGUAAGGCCCACCUCUGUUUUAGGAUGAUUAUGAUUUACUUGUGUCUCAAGUAGUUGUAACUUCAUUUUUAAAGCUUUCCCUGUUGUUAAAUCCAUUGACAGCCAUCCUUAGUUAAAUUUUGGUUAAAUGUAGGGCCUACGUUUAAUGUCUUGCCCAUCUAGAAUAGUGUAUCUGUAUUAUUUUGCUGUGUAAGAAUUGAUAGAUGAAAAGUUUCUACUCCUGGAGUAUAUGUAUCUGUCUAGCAUUUAUUGAAUGGAUGUAUUGCUGUAAGGCUCACCUGUUUUUAGGUUUCUUCAUGAUUUAUCAGUGUCCGGUAUCCCAAACAGUAGUGGGUUCAGUUUGUGAUAAGAACAUCUUGGCCAUGAUUAGGAUUUAGAAGAGAGUUCUUGUUUCAGAUCCUGAUUUCCUCGUUGUUACUUAUGUACUCUUACUAUAAUUUGAGCUGUUGCUUUGUUCUGCCAAGUUCCACUGUCAUUUUCCAUGUAUGGUGUUUUGAUACCAGCUCCCAUAUGUAUUGAGUUCUGAUGACUUUCUGCGCUAAUAUUUGUCCUGAACUCUCGAUAGAAAUUACACGUGCCUUUUUAACUGUUUCCUCUAAUUCUGAUUAUUUGGGUUAAAAAGUUGUAUAUAAGAACUUCAAGAAUAGCUAGCUACAGGUUGCAAUGACAAAAUAAUAUUUCGAAGUUUGUUUCAGAUUACGAGAAAGCUUGCUCAUGGAACUGCUGGUAGGACAGGUUUUGUGCCCACAUCAAACAACCCAUUACCCAGGUGUGUGAAUUUAUAUUAUUUUGUCUUUUAUCUUCAACUCUGGCUAUUAUUAGAUAAUUUUGCAACAAACUGUUUGUAACAUUGAAGAAAACUAUUAACAAUUCUGAUCAAUGACACAUGAUUUAUUUCUUGGCAAGUAGUUGUCGAGUUUUUUCUAAAAUGAAAUAUGCACUAGCGCUGCUUCAUGAUCUAUUUUUUGAUGGUUUGACCCCUUAUUUAGAUAACUGAUAUGGAUUAUUUGAGGAAGUAAUCCUUUUAACCACUCUUAAAAUAAUAUGGUGUACACAUUUUGAAGAAAUGAUGUCAUGUAUUUGUUCGUUUCGUAGAAGAUAAGUUUAUCUAAAUAACGAUGUGUGCGGGAAGCCUCUUAUGAAUGGCUGACUGGCUGCAUGAUGUUGUUGGCAACCUACGGUCACAAUACUUGCAUCAGACCAAGAAUGGAAACACACUUAUAUAUUUUCAAGAUUCUGUUUGUAGGUGUUGUUGCCCAUUGCAAACUUUGCUAUUUAGGAACUAAUAAUCAUACUGCAUGCUUAAUUGCUUCAGCUUUUUCUGGCUUUGUAAAGAGCUUAUUGUGCUUAAAUUAUCUGUUGCUUUAUCCUUCCAAUUACUGUUAUCCGGAUCUUCAAUUCUAUUUUAUACUACUAAUUUUCAGACUAUUAAAUAAUAGUAAGCAGUAAAAAUCAUCUUAUGGCUUAAUCAAAUGAAGUCAUUUAUUGGCAUGAGACAUGCAUACAUACACUACUUUCUCUUUUACAGGGUUCUAGCAUAUAAUGUGCAUACAUACAAUUCUGGUUGCAUAUUCUUUGAUCCAAGUUACUAAUUUAAUAUACACAGACCGGAAUUUUGGUAAGGGUAUGCACAUGAUAUUCUAGAACGUCACAUUUAUAAGAAAACUUUGAAGCUUAUAAACAUAUCAUCUUUUCUGGCACUUCACAUCUCAGCGGCACUGUAAGAGUAAGAUAAAGGUGUUUCUCUUCCAAGUUUAUGAUUCUAACUUCUGUGCUUUCACGCUUUUACAUAUAUUUACAAGUUCUUAUUUUGUUCUUUGGCAGUUACUGCACUACAUGUGUACUGGUAGGCACUUCACCAUGUCGCCAAAAUCUGAAGUGUAGUUUUACCGUUGUAUGUGAAGAGAAUUAUUUAUUGAAUUUGUUUUUUAGUCCAGCGCCCGUUGUUCUAUGGUUAAUAUACUCAUUUUGAUAUGUUCUUGAAGGGGAUAAUACUUGGAAGAACCUUGUCUUAGGGUGAAAACUUGCAAUUUACCUGUUUUGGGAAUUUUAAUCCCUAUGGAUGUUGUAUUUGUAAUUGAAUACCCUGUAUCAAAUCCAAAAGUGUUUAAGGCCAGAAUCGAGAUGAGUAUUUGUGGCUUAUU